GACGAACGCUGGCGGCGUGCUUAACACAUGCAAGUCGAACGGAAAGGCCCUGCGUUUGUGGGGUGCUCGAGUGGCGAACGGGUGAGUAACACGUGAGUAACCUGCCCUUGACUUUGGGAUAACUUCAGGAAACUGGGGCUAAUACCGGAUAGGAGCUCCUGCUGCAUGGUGGGGGUUGGAAAGUUUCGGCGGUUGGGGAUGGACUCGCGGCUUAUCAGCUUGUUGGUGGGGUAGUGGCUUACCAAGGCUUUGACGGGUAGCCGGCCUGAGAGGGUGACCGGCCACAUUGGGACUGAGAUACGCCCCAGACUACUACGGGAGGCAGCAGUGGGGAAUAUUGCACAAUGGGCGGAAGCCUGAUGCAGCAACGCCGCGUGCGGGAUGACGGCCUUCGGGUUGUAAACCGCUUUCGACUGUGACGAAGCGUGAGUGACGGUAAUUGGUAAAGAAGCACCGGCUAACUACGUG
This 468-nucleotide ribosomal RNA is filed under the name uncultured bacterium. Its description in RNAcentral is "partial 16S ribosomal RNA". It matches the Rfam family "Bacterial small subunit ribosomal RNA", at positions 28 to 507 of the family's 1533-position model. The record is from RNAcentral.